RNAcentral lists this ribosomal RNA (469 nucleotides) under uncultured bacterium. RNAcentral describes it as "partial 16S ribosomal RNA". It matches the Rfam family "Bacterial small subunit ribosomal RNA", at positions 38 to 507 of the family's 1533-position model. The record is from RNAcentral.
GAAGAAAGAGGGAGGAGUGAUUAACACAUGCAAGUCGAACGGAAAGGCCCUGCUUUUGUGGGGUGCUCGAGUGGCGAACGGGUGAGUAACACGUGAGUAACCUGCCCUUGACUUUGGGAUAACUUCAGGAAACUGGGGCUAAUACCGGAUAGGAGCUCCUGCUGCAUGGUGGGGGUUGGAAAGUUUCGGCGGUUGGGGAUGGACUCGCGGCUUAUCAGCUUGUUGGUGGGGGUAGUGGCUUACCAAGGCUUUGACGGGUAGCCGGCCUGAGAGGGUGACCGGACACAUUGGGACUGAGAUACGGCCCAGACUCCUACGGGAGGCAGCAGUGGGGAAUAUUGCACAAUGGGCGGAAGCCUGAUGCAGCAACGCCGCGUGCGGGAUGACGGCCUUCGGGUUGUAAACCGCUUUCGCCUGUGACGAAGCGUGAGUGACGGUAAUGGGUAAAGAAGCACCGGCUAACUACGUG